AGAAGCUUGCUUCUUUGCUGACGAGUGGCGGACGGGUGAGUAAUGUCUGGGAAACUGCCUGAUGGAGGGGGAUAACUACUGGAAACGGUAGCUAAUACCGCAUAACGUCGCAAGACCAAAGAGGGGGACCUUCGGGCCUCUUGCCAUCGGAUGUGCCCAGAUGGGAUUAGCUAGUAGGUGGGGUAACGGCUCACCUAGGCGACGAUCCCUAGCUGGUCUGAGAGGAUGACCAGCCACACUGGAACUGAGACACGGUCCAGACUCCUACGGGAGGCAGCAGUGGGGAAUAUUGCACAAUGGGCGCAAGCCUGAUGCAGCCAUGCCGCGUGUAUGAAGAAGGCCUUCGGGUUGUAAAGUACUUUCAGCGGGGAGGAAGGGAGUAAAGUUAAUACCUUUGCUCAUUGACGUUACCCGCAGAAGAAGCACCGGCUAACUCCGUGCCAGCAGCCGCGGUAAUACGGAGGGUGCAAGCGUUAAUCGGAAUUACUGGGCGUAAAGCGCACGCAGGCGGUUUGUUAAGUCAGAUGUGAAAUCCCCGGGCUCAACCUGGGAACUGCAUCUGAUACUGGCAAGCUUGAGUCUCGUAGAGGGGGGUAGAAUUCCAGGUGUAGCGGUGAAAUGCGUAGAGAUCUGGAGGAAUACCGGUGGCGAAGGCGGCCCCCUGGACGAAGACUGACGCUCAGGUGCGAAGGCGUGAGGAGCAAACAGGAUUAGAUACUCUGGUAGUCCACGCCGUAAACGAUGUCGACUUGGAGGUUGUGCCCUUGAGGCGU
Molecule: ribosomal RNA, 773 nt
Filed under: uncultured bacterium
Lineage: Bacteria
Description: bacterial SSU rRNA
Rfam family: Bacterial small subunit ribosomal RNA
Source: RNAcentral